RNAcentral lists this ribosomal RNA (484 nucleotides) under uncultured bacterium. RNAcentral's name for it is "partial 16S ribosomal RNA". It matches the Rfam family "Bacterial small subunit ribosomal RNA", at positions 28 to 507 of the family's 1533-position model. The record is from RNAcentral.
AUUGAACGCUGGCGGCAUGCUUUACACAUGCAAGUCGAACGGCAGCGCGGGCUUCGGCCUGGCGGCGAGUGGCGAACGGGUGAGUAAUGCAUCGGAACGUGCCCAGUAGUGGGGGAUAGCCCGGCGAAAGCCGGAUUAAUACCGCAUACGACCUGAGGGUGAAAGCGGGGGACCGAAAGGCCUCGCGCUCUUGGAGCGGCCGAUGUCGGAUUAGCUAGUUGGUGGGGUAAAGGCUUACCAAGGCGACGAUCCGUAGCUGGUCUGAGAGGACGACCAGCCACACUGGGACUGAGACACGGCCCAGACUCCUACGGGAGGCAGCAGUGGGGAAUUUUGGACAAUGGGGGCAACCCUGAUCCAGCCAUGCCGCGUGCGGGAAGAAGGCCUUCGGGUUGUAAACCGCUUUUGUUCGGGAAGAAAUGCUCUGGGCUAAUACCCCGGGGGGAUGACGGUACCGGAAGAAUAAGCACCGGCUAACUACGUG